RNAcentral lists this transfer RNA (3187 nucleotides) under Otus sunia (Oriental scops-owl). Its description in RNAcentral is "lncRNA (ENSOSUG00000015357.1)". The stretch from base 2703 to 2774 matches the Rfam family "tRNA". Lineage: Eukaryota; Metazoa; Chordata; Aves; Strigiformes; Strigidae. The record is from RNAcentral.
CUCAGGACUCUGGAAAAAUCCCCUGGGGGGGGAAAAAAAAUAAAAAUCCCUUGAACUGGGGGACAUCCCCUUCUCGGUGGGGUUUUGAUGCUUUUUCUAGGGAUGCCUUGGGAAAUAUCGGGGGGGUUUUGCUCCCCGAGGUGCAGCGGACGGAGGGUGCCCCCCAUCCAGCCUGAGCCUGCGUGGAGCAGCUUGGGGAUGGGGGGCAGGAGGGGCCCUGUUUUCCCCCCAUCUUUGUGGCAAACCGCAUCUCACCGCAAUCUCUGCCUCUCUCCCUCCAGCACCCCAGUUCCCCCAGUCCUCAUCUUACUGGGAAUCAGCCCUCCCAGGUGAUGAGGCUUUGGGGGAGGCGGGUUGUGUGGGGGGUUUGGGGGAGCAGGGCUCCCUCUCCAUCCUUAUUGAUUCUCCUCUCCCCAAAGGAGCUGCCGCUCCCGGGACCAUCCCCAAGGGCCGGAUCCUGCACGCUCCAGCCCUGAGGCAGCUCAGGACCCACCGUGGAGCUGGAGCACGUCCCUGCUCGGGGGUUCCCCCCCCCCCCUCCUCCCCGUUACCUGGAGCCUCCGGCUCAGGACUCGCUGUCGGCCCAGCGCGGAGCUGCCUCCGCCGAGCUUCCCCCGCGAGAAACGUCCUCCCUUCCUGCGCUGAGGCUGCAAAGUUGGGGGGGGAUACAGAGGCCCCCCCACUUUACACCCCGAGGACUGACGAGCCUCCCGACAGCAGGGCACAAUGGAGGCGACGACGCCGGGCAUGGCUUUGCUCCGGAAGCCCAAGCCGGUAUCCGGGAGAGAGGAGACGCCAAGAACAAGCUCCUUGGCGGCAGCGUUUACCCAGAGCCCUCUAGAGGUAACCCAACCUUGGCUCCCCCCCACCCCAACCUUGGCUCUCCCCCCAGCCCAACCCUCCCCGGGGGGCACAGGGGACCCCGCUACGCUCCUGCCCCAUCACCGGCAUCGCUCUUCCCUUUUACCCGGCCGUUUUGGAAGAAGCUCAGCCUUGCUCGAAACGCCGCCGGGAGCUCACGACAGCAGCAGAGGGGACACUUCAAGGAUCGUGAGCGUGGGGAAGUGUGGGGAGGUGAGGGGGUGCUCUGGGGGAUCCCCUCAGGUGGGAGAGAGGGACACCGGGCUGGUUUCCCCCCUCGGCAUCAGGGAUGGGAGCUGCGCAAGCAAGAAAUUGGGGUUUUCCACCUGGAAGAGUGGUUCAAACCGUGUUUUCAUCAUGUGGCUGGUGAAAACGGGGUUGUUUCCCCCCCUGCAAAGCUCCGGGCUCAGGAGUCACGCGCUAACGGGUGGGAAAAAGGGGGAAUUUCCACUUACCAAGUUAUUCCUUCUCGUUGCCGGAGGAGGAGAGCGGGGAAAACACAGCUCCGCCAACAAGAAGAUAAAGAAAAGCAGCCGGGGAGUGAGAGGGGAGCCUGGAUUUCUGCCUCUGAGAAAACCCAGGAGGUUUAAAACCACGCGGAUGCUUCUCCCUCCGGCCUACGGGCGAGAAGCCCUACCAGUGCUCCGACUGCGGCAAGAGCUUCAUCGUCAUCACGCACCGGUGGCUCCACCGCGGCGUCCACCAGCUCCGUGCGUGAAUGGCUCCAGCUCCCGCCUUGUGCUGGCGAGGCCCGGUGAUGCCAGCCCAGCCUGGAGGUCUUCUCCAGAGGCUGGAAGUCAACCAGGACUCCACUUAUCUUGGCACAUGCUGGAAAAGGAAGAAAGAUCUGUGUAUCUGGGGGUGUGAAGGGAAGGAUGAGGACCGAGCGGGGUCACCCUCAGCAGAAAACCAAUUCUGGGUGAAGUUUCUCCUGCUCUGCUGGAAGAGAGAGAAAUCACAGAGUCAUCUCGGUUGGAAAAGCCCUUGAAGAUCAUCCAGUCCAACCAUUGACCUCACACUGGACGUUCCUCCCAGCCAAACCACUCCAGAGCAUCUCCUGCUCUCCCCCUGCCCAAACACAACCACAAAAAGGAUCUUUUUUUUCCCUUGUUGCCCCAAACUCUCCCAGUGUCAAGAUAUUUGACACAACAGGCCCGAGGGCUGUUUCACCUCCCCUCCGGCCACGCGCUUGUCCAAAUAACAACUUCGGGAGUAGAAAGGUGGGGUGAUAAACACCCGCUGUGGUCUCUGCGUGUGUGUGGGCCCACGGGGGGGUCCAGACACAUGAGCCCCACACCCCCUUUUACCUUCACCCGCGCCCCAGAGCUGUGAGGUUGUCGGUAAAAGGAAAACGCGAGAUGUGGAAGGAUUAAUUCUUGAGGAUGAGGAGGGGGAGGAAGGUUUGUGACAGUGUCAGGAUGGCCGAGUGGUCUAAGGCGCCAGACUCAAGGCUUUGCUUUCCCUGCCAGGGAUUUCUGGUCUCCGAAUGGAGGCGUGGGUUCAAAUCCCACUUCUGACACACCUUUUCCUGCUAAAAACUAACAUUGUUAAUAUAUAUUUUUUAAAAUAACUCCCCCAUCAUCCCUACCAAUUAGGGAAAACGCCGAUUCUCCUUGUUUUCCCCCCGAAAAAACCUUGGUCCUGUACCAACCUCUACUGCUCGCCCGUUGCGGUCAGGUGUGGAGAAACCAUGAGGGAUGGGAAAGGGGGGACAGAGGUGGCAGCGGGGGGGUCUUGGCUGUGGGGCGAAGUGGGGGCAGCGCGUUCCCCCCCACACACACUCGGGGGUCCCUCGUGGAGCGGCCACGUGUGAGGCCGUGUCAAAAAUAUAUUUUUGUGCUUCCCUGGUGGUCUAGUGGUCAGGAUUCGGCGCUCUCACCGCCGCGGCCCGGGUUCGAUUCCCGGUCAGGGAACAUUCCACCAAGACAUUUUCCUUCUUAAAAAAACUUUUUAAUACCAAUAAGACUCCUUUUCGCACCAAAUUCACCCCUCGAAGCACACACAGCGACAACAACCCCUCCCCAACGAAUUGAAAAGCUGGUUGGCACCCUUGAUGCACAGGCUGAUCCUGUUCUUUUUUACGGGUCGCUGCUAUAAUUGUGGAUAACAACUUGAUGAGGGGUGGGUUUAGCAGAACUGGGAUAUCACCAUCCCUAUCCGAGGGUAAAUUGACUGGUGGGGACUUUUUCACCGGCUCACAGCAAUUCCCAUCACCUGCUGGUAAUUAAAACACAUAUUCAAGUAUAUAUAACCGUAAGGAGGCUGUGAAAACCCAUAUUUCAAGGUAAAAAAUCACUUAGAGCUGCUCACUAAUGAAACACCGAGC